GGCUGAAAGAACUUGUGAGGCUCUGGCUGUUUGAAUCACCCUGCCAGUGAGAGAUAAUCAGGGCUCCUGAUGCACUUCUGCUCUUAAAAGGGGAGAAGUGAUCCCCAAGAGUCUAGAAAGGGUUCCUCAGAGUGGGGAUCCCCAGACUAAAGUAAAGGGGAGAGAAGGAGGUGGCCUGUGCAUUCCAUAAAGAAAACUGGUGUACUCGACUUCCGGCAAGAUGGCAGACUAGGGGUCAUAAAUCUGCACAUUAUCAAUGUAUUCCUAGUGGGCUUUUGUAGGAGAGAGAGAGAGAGGGGGGGACAGGAAGAGGCAUGGGGUUGGGAGUGAGGAGGAGUGGGUUUCAGUGGAGCAAAGUACAUUUUCUUUUAUUCCCCAGGACCAGCUUUAAGAGGAAAUGAAAUUGCCCAGUUCAUCU
RNAcentral lists this long non-coding RNA (418 nucleotides) under Bos taurus (domestic cattle). Its description in RNAcentral is "long non-coding RNA NONBTAT008240". The record is from RNAcentral. Lineage: Eukaryota; Metazoa; Chordata; Mammalia; Artiodactyla; Bovidae.